AAAAAAUUUGAUUGGUAUUUGUAUUGCCUGCACAAAAAUACUACAAGGGUCAAGAUGUAUAACUACACACCAUGUAGUUACAGAUUGACCCUGUAAGUCAAACGGAAAUCUUUUGUUUGUUGGUGUGGGGAAUAGUUUAGACUUGGAACAGUACUGCGUUUCUUGUCACCACAUGCUUCAGGAUGUUAUACCCAAGAUCUCUGUCACACACCUACAUACCAUCUAGUCAGCGAUCAGAAAAUGAGCUUUUUCCUUCCUCAACUCUGUCUGGUUCUCAGCUCUGAAUGAGGUAGUCAUUGUGCUAGCCAAGUUGAACAAACACAAGUUAGGGCAGGGUAACUCCUUGGAUACUAACAGAACAAACUUCUUUUUGCACCUGCAGAAGAGGCUAUUUCUGUCAAAAGCUGGUUUAGUAAGUAGUCUCCUGCUGGAACAAGAGUUUAUCGGUGAUUUCCAGGUCAAUGGUUGGACUUCAGAACUUUGGGGCAAUUGGCAGUUGUACUCAGCAGCUAGAGCACUCUUCUGAACCAUGUCCCAACCUGCAGUCACUCAACAGCCAGGCUCAGUCGCUUCCUCCAUCAUGUCCCCGACGGGCGACUGGAGCACUGGGAGAUAUGACUGCUGUGCAGACUGUGGCAUCUGCUGUCUGGGGCUCCUCUGCCCAACACUGCUGGCAUGUUACGUGUCCAAAAAAUAUGGAGAGAACUGCUUCCUUCCCUGCCUUUUUGGAAGCAUGACAGCCCUGAGAACUCACAUGCGCCUCUCUUACGGCAUCCAGGGCACCGUGUGCCGCGACGGCCUGGCCAUGUGCUUCUGCGGCCCGUGCGAGCUGUGCCGCAUGGCGCGCGAGAUGGACCGCCACGGGCAGUUCUGAGGCCCGGCCCAAGCUGCGCAGACGCCGGAGAAGAGAGGA
RNA transcript from Alligator sinensis (Chinese alligator), 913 nucleotides. It is a transcript of the gene named cornifelin homolog A-like, with no coding region annotated. Lineage: Eukaryota; Metazoa; Chordata; Crocodylia; Alligatoridae. The record is from RefSeq and is a predicted model, not a curated record. The transcript has 5 exons.